UACGUAGGGACCAAGCGUUGUUCGGAUUUACUGGGCGUAAAGGGCGCGUAGGCGGCUUUGUAAGUCACUUGUGAAAUCUCUGAGCUUAACUCAGAACGGCCAAGUGAUACUGCAAUGCUAGAGUGCAGAAGGGGCAAUCGGAAUUCUUGGUGUAGCGGUGAAAUGCGUAGAUAUCAAGAGGAACACCUGAGGUGAAGACGGGUUGCUGGGCUGACACUGACGCUGAGGCGCGAAAGCCAGGGGAGCAAAC
RNAcentral lists this ribosomal RNA (250 nucleotides) under uncultured bacterium. RNAcentral's name for it is "partial 16S ribosomal RNA". It matches the Rfam family "Bacterial small subunit ribosomal RNA", at positions 524 to 773 of the family's 1533-position model. The record is from RNAcentral.